Schistosoma curassoni is the source of this 45-nucleotide non-coding RNA. NCBI's taxonomy places the organism in Eukaryota, Metazoa, Platyhelminthes, Trematoda, Strigeidida, Schistosomatidae. The record is from Rfam.
AUCCAGAUGACGAGUCCCAAAUAGGACGAAAUUCGUGUCGCGAAU